This 560-nucleotide ribosomal RNA is filed under the name uncultured bacterium. Its description in RNAcentral is "bacterial SSU rRNA". It matches the Rfam family "Bacterial small subunit ribosomal RNA", at positions 338 to 916 of the family's 1533-position model. The record is from RNAcentral.
CCUACGGGAGGCAGCAGUGGGGAAUAUUGGACAAUGGGCGAAAGCCUGAUCCAGCAAUGCCGCGUGAGUGAUGAAGGCCUUAGGGUUGUAAAGCUCUUUUACCAGGGAUGAUAAUGACAGUACCUGGAGAAUAAGCUCCGGCUAACUCCGUGCCAGCAGCCGCGGUAAUACGGAGGGAGCUAGCGUUGUUCGGAAUUACUGGGCGUAAAGCGUACGUAGGCGGUUAUUCAAGUCAGAGGUGAAAGCCCGGGGCUCAACCCCGGAACUGCCUUUGAAACUAGAUAGCUAGAAUCUUGGAGAGGUUAGUGGAAUUCCGAGUGUAGAGGUGAAAUUCGUAGAUAUUCGGAAGAACACCAGUGGCGAAGGCGACUAACUGGACAAGUAUUGACGCUGAGGUACGAAAGCGUGGGGAGCAAACAGGAUUAGAUACCCUGGUAGUCCACGCCGUAAACGAUGAUAACUAGUUGUUCGGGCACUUGGUGCCUGAGUGACGCAGCUAACGCAUUAAGUUAUCCGCCUGGGGAUACGGUCGCAAGNUUAAAACUUAAAUGAAUUGACGG